This 253-nucleotide ribosomal RNA is filed under the name uncultured bacterium. RNAcentral describes it as "partial 16S ribosomal RNA". It matches the Rfam family "Bacterial small subunit ribosomal RNA", at positions 524 to 776 of the family's 1533-position model. The record is from RNAcentral.
UACGUAGGUGGCAAGCGUUGUCCGGAUUUAUUGGGUUUAAAGGGUGCGUAGGCGGCUUUGUAAGUCAGUGGUGAAAUGUGGCAGCUCAACUGUCAGGGUGCCAUUGAUACUGCGGAGCUUGAGUACAGAUGAGGUAGGCGGAAUUGACGGUGUAGCGGUGAAAUGCUUAGAUAUCGUCAAGAACACCGAUAGCGAAGGCAGCUUACUAGGCUGUAACUGACGCUGAGGCACGAAAGUGUGGGGAUCAAACAGG